GAGAAUAAAAUUUACAGUGUCAAUUAAAUGUCUAGUAGUGUUUCUUAAUAUGCUAAUGGCAGAGUACAUUUAAAAAGAAGUAUAACUUACAUCCUCAGC
Sapajus apella (tufted capuchin) is the source of this 99-nucleotide long non-coding RNA. RefSeq lists it as uncharacterized. The transcript has 3 exons. The record is from RefSeq and is a predicted model, not a curated record. NCBI's taxonomy places the organism in Eukaryota, Metazoa, Chordata, Mammalia, Primates, Cebidae.